AACGUAGGAGACAAACGUUAUCCGGAGUUACUGGGCGUAAAGGGCGUGUAGGUGGUUGUGUAAGUUCGGCGUGAAAUCUCUCGGCUUAACCGGGAGUGGUCGUCGGAUACUGCACGACUAGAGGACGGUAGAGGCGUGUGGAAUUCCGGGUGUAGUGGUGAAAUGCGCAGAUAUCGGGAAGAACACCCGUGGCGAAGGCGGCUCUCUGGGACGGUACUGACGCUGAGACGCGAAAGCGUGGGGGAGCGAACAGG
This 254-nucleotide ribosomal RNA is filed under the name uncultured bacterium. Its description in RNAcentral is "partial 16S ribosomal RNA". It matches the Rfam family "Bacterial small subunit ribosomal RNA", at positions 524 to 776 of the family's 1533-position model. The record is from RNAcentral.